This 594-nucleotide long non-coding RNA is filed under the name Polistes fuscatus (common paper wasp). Its description in RNAcentral is "uncharacterized LOC122515471". Lineage: Eukaryota; Metazoa; Arthropoda; Insecta; Hymenoptera; Vespidae. The record is from RNAcentral.
GAUCACCCGAUUAAAUCUUUCGAAUAGAACAACGUGCGAAACGAUUGAAGUUUACUUCCCAUCAUCAUCAGUCGCGUUUUCACGCUCGUGUAAGCACCGAUCGCGGAUCGUAUGUGAAGCUUGAACUACGUUAGAAGAGCUGUGAUCCUCUCCACUCGACACGUUCAACAGGCCACAUUAAAUCACCCUCGUCUUACGUUGCGUUAGGGUCAGGAAAGAAAGAGAGAAAGAGAGAAUGAGAAAGAGAGAAAAAGAGAGACUACGCACCAAAGUGUCGAUUUGAUCCGAGAGAAGUGUAAAGGAGGAAAAGAAGACGAAUGAGGGAGAAAGAGAAAUAGAGAAAGAAAAAAAGGGAUUGUCGACGUUCUCAUGUGUCCCUACGAAGUCGAUCGGCCCCGUUUGUUCGAGCGAGCAUGUGGGCCAACAAUGGCCACUUCGGUAGCAGCCGCGACGCACUUCACUUCGUCCAUUAUUCCGUACACGUUUUCAUGUGGCCACGUCGGUGCUGCUAACGUCGAGGUAGCAAAAGAGAGAGAGGAAGAGAGAGGGAGAGAGGGAGAGUACGAAAUGGGGGAUGAGAGAAACCCAGCAGAA